AAGAAUCUAUUACCCUUGGUUCGGCGUUGGAAAUGGAACCAAAUGUUUGAACAACUUUCAUUGUCCUCCGCUUUCAACACUGUUUUCCUGUUCUUUUAGUCUGAUUGACUGUUGUUCUUUGAAUGUGAUUGCAUACUUCUGUGAUCAAGAAACAGAAAUUGCCAAUUCCAGUUUAAGGCUAGCAGGAGGUACUAAUAUUUCUGGACGCGUGGAAGUUCAAUUUCAAGAUGUAUGGGGGUCAGUAGAGACGAAUAAAUGGGAUGCAAUAGACUCUAAAAUUGUUUGCCGAUCUCUUGAUCUACCAUGGAGAGCUUCCUUGGCGGUGAAGAAUGGACUUUAUGGACAUGCUAAAGGGAAGUCUUGGAUAACAGACACAGAUUGCACAGGUCUUGAAAGUAACCUUUACCAAUUUUUGUUCAAUGUGCAAGGAGAAAAAGCGACUCUUUCAUACCCUGCUGGAGUCAUUUGUGCGGACUCGAUUCCUGUUAGACUCGUUAAUGGAGCUAUUCCAACUUCCGGAAGAGUGGAGGUAUACAUUGAUGGAAAGUGGGGAUCUGUAAUCGUUAGAUCAA
Saccostrea cuccullata (small rock oyster) is the source of this 572-nucleotide long non-coding RNA. RefSeq lists it as uncharacterized. The record is from RefSeq and is a predicted model, not a curated record. Lineage: Eukaryota; Metazoa; Mollusca; Bivalvia; Ostreida; Ostreidae. The transcript is spliced from 4 exons.